CCAGGCUUGAACUGCAGAUGACAUCCUACGAAAGUAGGCUUCCGCAAGGACAUCUGUAGAGGUGCUGCAUGGCUGUCGUCAGCUCGUGUCGUGAGAUGUUGGGUUAAAGUCCCGCAACGAGCGCAACCCUUGUCUUCUGUUGCCAUCGGGUUAUGCCGGGCACUCUGAAGAGACUGCCGGUGACAAACCGGAGGAAGGUGGGGAUGACGUCAAGUCAGCAUGGCCUUUAUGUCUGGGGCCACACACGUGCUACAAUGGCCGGUACAAACCGUCGCGAUCUCGCGAGAGGGAGCUAAUCGGAGAAAGCCGGUCUCAGUUCGGAUUGUAGGCUGCAACUCGCCUGCAUGAAGUUGGAAUCGCUAGUAAUCGCGGAUCAGCACGCCGCGGUGAAUACGUUCCCGGGCCUUGUACACACCGCCCGUCACAUCACGAAAGCCGGCUGUACUAGAAGUCGCUGCGCUAACCCGCAAGGGGGGCAAGCGCCUAAGGUAUGGUCGGUGAUUGGGGUG
RNAcentral lists this ribosomal RNA (509 nucleotides) under uncultured bacterium. RNAcentral describes it as "bacterial SSU rRNA". It matches the Rfam family "Bacterial small subunit ribosomal RNA", at positions 975 to 1482 of the family's 1533-position model. The record is from RNAcentral.